RNAcentral lists this ribosomal RNA (455 nucleotides) under uncultured bacterium. RNAcentral's name for it is "bacterial SSU rRNA". It matches the Rfam family "Bacterial small subunit ribosomal RNA", at positions 340 to 786 of the family's 1533-position model. The record is from RNAcentral.
UACGGGAGGGCAGCAGUGGGGAAUAUUGCACAAUGGGCGCAAGCCUGAUGCAGCCAUGCCGCGUGUAUGAAAAAGGCCUUCGGGUUGUAAAGUACUUUCAGUCGUGAGGAAGGUGUUAAGGUUAAUAACCUUAGCAAUUGACGUUAGCGACAGAAGAAGCACCGGCUAACUCCGUGCCAGCAGCCGCGGUAAUACGGAGGGUGCGAGCGUUAAUCGGAAUUACUGGGCGUAAAGGGCACGCAGGCGGUUAAUUAAGUUGGAUGUGAAAUCCCCGGGCUUAACCUGGGAAUGGCAUUCAAGACUGGUUAGCUAGAGUCUUGUAGAGGGGGUAGAAUUCCAUGUGUAGCGGUGAAAUGCGUAGAGAUGUGGAGGAAUACCGGUGGCGAAGGCGGCCCCUGGACAAAGACUGACGCUCAUGUGCGAAAGCGUGGGGAGCGAAACAGGGAUUAGAUACC